AACUCCGUGUGCUGGGAAUCUUUGCAUGCAGCUGUGUGCUGAACUGAAACCCUUCGCUCUAUCUAUCUAUCUAUAUAAACAGAUGCCCUUCGCUCUCGUCUCAGCAAGCAGCAUCGACCGACGCCAACGACAGAGAAGAGAGUCCAUCUGCUCGUUGCCUUGAUUUUGUGGAACGAAGCGAUGGCUCGCAGCGGCGCCAUGGUUUCCUGCAUGCUGCUCCUGGUGGUGGCGCAACUGCUCAUGGUGAUGGCCACGCAGACAGCGGCGGCGGCGGGCGACCAACGCGGAGCUGGACGCCGGCUGCUGUGGCAGGUGACCUGCCACUACAGCGCCUGUAACUGCCGCACUUGCCCGACAUAUGGCUGGGCGUGCUGCAGCACUUGCUGCUAGCUAGCUAGCUAGUGUGAGUUCUUCCGCGCGCGCGCAGCCUUUUGCACACCCCUCUUGCUUAGCUCAUGCAUGUCCAGUAGUAGCCGGUUGCUGCACUCGUCGUCGGCGGCGGCGGCGGCGGCGUCAUCUCUGGCGUGGUUACGUUCUCAUCAGCGACUUCUAAUGGCGCUCUCGAUCUUUAUUUCCUGCAGUCCUUUUUGUAAUAAGAAGCCAAUUGAUGUGUGUGCACGCGCAAUCCUAAUAAUAAAUAGAUCUUCUUUGUGCCUU
Zea mays is the source of this 657-nucleotide long non-coding RNA. RefSeq lists it as uncharacterized. Lineage: Eukaryota; Viridiplantae; Streptophyta; Magnoliopsida; Poales; Poaceae. The transcript is spliced from 2 exons. The record is from RefSeq and is a predicted model, not a curated record.